This 468-nucleotide ribosomal RNA is filed under the name uncultured bacterium. Its description in RNAcentral is "partial 16S ribosomal RNA". It matches the Rfam family "Bacterial small subunit ribosomal RNA", at positions 28 to 507 of the family's 1533-position model. The record is from RNAcentral.
GACGAACGCUGGCGGCGUGCUUAACACAUGCAAGUCGAACGGGAAGGCCCUGCUUUUGUGGGGUGCUCGAGUGGCGAACGGGUGAGUAACACGUGAGUAACCUGCCCUUGACUUUGGGAUAACUUCAGGAAACUGGGGCUAAUAACGGAUAGGAGCUCCUGCUGCAUGGUGGGGGUUGGAAAGUUUCGGCGGUUGGGGAUGGACUCGCGGCUUAUCAGCUUGUUGGUGGGGUAGUGGCUUACCAAGGCUUUGACGGGUAGCCGGCCUGAGAGGGUGACCGGCCACAUUGGGACUGAGAGACGGACCAGACUCCUACGGGAGGCAGCAGUGGGGAAUAUUGCACAAUGGGCGGAAGCCUGAUGCAGCAACGCCGCGUGCGGGAUGACGGCCUUCGGGUUAUAAACCGCUUUCGCCUGUGACGAAGCGUGAGUGACGGUAAUGGGUAAAGAAGCACCGGCUAACUACGUG